GGAGGGUCCAAAAGCCCUGGCUCUUGAGGCUGACAGAUAUAUAUCUCAAACUGAAGCUCUCAAAGCUUUCUGGAACAAAAGAGCCAGCACAGAGGAGGAAAAUAAUCACCGCACGUGAGCAAGCAGCAAAUGAGGACUUUGAACCAGAGAUAAAAAUGUAGAAAUGAACACUUGGGCAAUGGAGGUACUAUGAGACAUAGGAGCUCAGAAGAGGACACAUGGUGAACCUAAUUUCCCCAGACGGAUCUAGCAGAGCCACAGCCCAGCAGUGUGGGCAGCGCUGACUACCUCGAAGGUAAAGAAGAGACUAACAUGAGCUCCUAGCAGAUUCACAAAGAAAAUGCAGUCCAUAUUUCAGUCCUCAUGAAGUACCUAAAAUCCGCACCUUAAAUCGCUUUUCUAAAUGUGGUGGCCCAGAUAACCCUUUCUGAAGGCUUUAUCUUGGAGGCUGUGGCUUAGCUGCCUGGCACAGCUUAGAGCAGGAAGAGAGAUUCACUGGUCCUUUUCUGUCAAAGCAAUUGCAGGCCUUUUGCUUCCUAAUGUAAAUCUGUAAGGACCAUAUUGCUCACAAGAGGUCACCCCCACUGCCAAGAGUCAUGUCAGCACACACUAACUACAGGCUAGGGCAGAGAGCACUCCUUCCCCAGUAGAUGCAAGAAGAUCACACUGACCUGCUGUCAUCUCAAGCCCUUGCACACAAGCAAGAAGUCUCUGGAACAGCCCCCUUGGGAAUCACAUCUCCAAGUUCACAUGUAGGUGCAUGCCCUGAACCCACCCUUGUGUUUAGCUUCUCCUGUGCAAGGGCUGUAGAAUGGACAAAGCAAAUGAUGAAGAUGUCGUCCACUUUCCCAAUUCUGUCCUGGGUCUCGUGCCCAAUGGCAGAGGAGGAGAGCAAAAAGGAGCUUGCAUCAUAGUUCGGGAUCUGGGUGCAGCAGACAACAGUUCAGGACUCAAUUCAGAAGACGUGGCUUGCCAUUACUAUCAGUGCAUGUCCAUACUGCAUCAGUCCACAGGUUCAGCAAAAUCACAGCAGCAUACAGCUCUGGUCACACUGCAGUGAAUCAGACUAUGGAUGUCCAGGUGAAGGCUUUGGAGCAUCACAAUCACGUAUCUCCUCCUAUAAGGGUUGCAGCUAAGAAAAGCUGAUUCUGAAUGAAAUUCAGAGAGGCUCAAUCCUCUAAUUCCCUGAAGAGAACACAAAAGCAGAAAGCAAGACCAGGAUUGCAUUGGUAUAUUGGCUGAUGGGUACAAAAUCUUCUGACAUGUCGUUUGCUCAGCCCUGAUUGGAAAAUAUCUUUAAUUAAAACACCACAUCAGAAUCCUGAACCAAUUUCAUCCCAGCUCUGCUAAGUGCUUUGUACAAAACAUUAACUCUAAAAUCUCAUUACACAUUAGCAAUCCCUGUGACAAACAUAAAUGAUAAUUUAGCUCUAAUGCAUUCUGGAGCAAGCCAUUUUUAAGAGAGGCGAAUGAUAUCAGCUUGCUAGGAGAAGGGGAAGAGUUGAAUUUAUCUGUCUCUUUAUUUUUUAAACAAAUGGCUCUAGCUGGUUCAGCAAUGGGCUGUACAAAUCAUUGCAGUGUGUAGCACUGACAGUAUACAGCAGCUGUUUAGCCAGAACCUGGCACUCCUGCCUGGGCUGAGUUUUGCAAUCCCAUCAGCAGGGCUAAGUUCACAGGCCUUCAUAAGCAUUCAGGGAAGAGAAAAGGCAAUGGGGAAGGUUGGAUGGGAAAGGUGGGGUGUUGAUUUGACAGGACAGUGGUGGGGAGGAGCAGUACCUGGAGAUCCCUGGUAAUCUGAGUUUAUUCCAAACCACAGGUAGAGGGGACAAGGAAGAGGCUGACUUCCUGCAGUCAUUUCAGCUGCUUUCAUAGACAGCAAGGCUGGCAAAAGGAUGAGAUGUACAGUGAUUUUGU
Molecule: long non-coding RNA, 1914 nt
Organism: Phasianus colchicus (ring-necked pheasant)
Lineage: Eukaryota; Metazoa; Chordata; Aves; Galliformes; Phasianidae
Source: Ensembl